This is a long non-coding RNA of Zea mays, 269 nucleotides long. RefSeq lists it as uncharacterized. The record is from RefSeq and is a predicted model, not a curated record. NCBI's taxonomy places the organism in Eukaryota, Viridiplantae, Streptophyta, Magnoliopsida, Poales, Poaceae. The transcript has 3 exons.
AUGAUGUCGCUUGCAUGGCCAUACAAGAAACUGAAGGUCAUCAACAAGGCAUCAGCAACACCUAACACAUCACCUAACAUUUCAGGAAAUGGACAAUGUUAGUAUCAGAUCAUGUUACAACCAACCGUGGACAUGGUUCUUCGGUCUUGCAUUUCUUUUGGAGCUUUUGUUGCGUAUGUUGCGUACAACAACGUGAAGGAAUUGAGUUAUUGUAAUACUAGCUUUUGUGUUAUGUAAUGUGAUAUUGCAACCUAUGGACUAGUUCGAUG